GAUGAACGCUAGCGGCAGGCCUAACACAUGCAAGUCAGGGGUAACAUAGGAAAGCUUGCUUUUCUGAUGACGACCGGCGCACGGGUGCGUAACGCGUAUACAACCUACCUUUUAGCGGGGAAUAGCCCAGGGAAACUUGGAUUAAUGCCCCAUAGUAUAUGGACUUCUCCUGAAGUUUAUAUUAAACAUUUAUGGCUAUUAGAUGGGUAUGCGUCCUAUUAGUUAGUUGGUAAGGUAACGGCUUACCAAGGCAGCGAUAGGUAGGGGUCCUGAGAGGGAGAUCCCCACACUGGUACUGAGACACGGACCAGACUCCUACGGGAGGCAGCAGUGAGGAAUAUUGGACAAUGGGCGAGAGCCUGAUCCAGCCAUGCCGCGUGCAGGAAGACUGCCCUAUGGGUUGUAAACUGCUUUUACAGAGGAAGAACCACCCCCACGUGUGGGGGUUUGACGGUACUCUGCGAAUAAGGAUCGGCUAACUCCGUG
This 486-nucleotide ribosomal RNA is filed under the name uncultured bacterium. Its description in RNAcentral is "bacterial SSU rRNA". It matches the Rfam family "Bacterial small subunit ribosomal RNA", at positions 28 to 507 of the family's 1533-position model. The record is from RNAcentral.